ACGGGUGAGUAACACGUGAAUUAUCUACCUCCGAGUGGGGAAUAACUGAGAGAAAUCUUAGCUAAUACCGCAUAACACUUACGAGUCAAAGCAGCAAUGCGCUUGGAGAGGAGUUCGCGGCCGAUUAGCUAGUUGGCGGGGUAAUGGCCCACCAAGGCGAUGAUCGGUAUCCGGCCUGAGAGGGCGCACGGACACACUGGAACUGAAACACGGUCCAGACUCCUACGGGAGGCAGCAGUGGGGAAUAUUGGACAAUGGGGGAAACCCUGAUCCAGCGACGCCGCGUGUGUGAAGAAGGCCUGCGGGUUGUAAAGCACUUUUAGUGGGGAUGAAAAGCUCAGGGAUAACACCUCUGGGUCUUGACCUAACCCACAGAAAAAGCACCGGCUAACUCUGUGCCAGCAGCCGCGG
Molecule: ribosomal RNA, 411 nt
Filed under: uncultured bacterium
Lineage: Bacteria
Description: bacterial SSU rRNA
Rfam family: Bacterial small subunit ribosomal RNA
Source: RNAcentral